GAUGAACGCUGGCGGCGUGCCUAAUACAUGCAAGUCGAGCGAACAGACGAGGAGCUUGCUCCUUCGACGUUAGCGGCGGACGGGUGAGUAACACGUAGGUAACCUACCUAUAAGACUGGGAUAACUUCGGGAAACCGGAGCUAAUACCGGAUAAUAUUUCGAUCCGCAUGGUUCGAUAGUGAAAGAUGGCUUUGCUAUCACUUAUAGAUGGACCUGCGCCGUAUUAGCUAGUUGGUAAGGUAACGGCUUACCAAGGCAACGAUACGUAGCCGACCUGAGAGGGUGAUCGGCCACACUGGAACUGAGACACGGUCCAGACUCCUACGGGAGGCAGCAGUAGGGAAUCUUCCGCAAUGGGCGAAAGCCUGACGGAGCAACGCCGCGUGAGUGAUGAAGGUCUUCGGAUCGUAAAACUCUGUUAUUAGGGAAGAACAAACGUGUAAGUAACUGUGCACGUCUUGACGGUACCUAAUCAGAAAGCCACGGCUAACUACGUG
Molecule: ribosomal RNA, 497 nt
Filed under: uncultured bacterium
Lineage: Bacteria
Description: partial 16S ribosomal RNA
Rfam family: Bacterial small subunit ribosomal RNA
Source: RNAcentral